AUUGUUGAAUGGAUCUAAUAUUAAUUAUGCCUUUGCUAUAUUCUAUAAUCUUCGUACCUGUGUCAAGCGAGCCAAAAUCUAUUUUUAAUUUAAGGCUCGUUAGGUUGUAG
This 110-nucleotide non-coding RNA is filed under the name Plasmodium falciparum 3D7. Lineage: Eukaryota; Apicomplexa; Aconoidasida; Haemosporida; Plasmodiidae. The record is from RNAcentral.